This 82-nucleotide transfer RNA is filed under the name Danio rerio (zebrafish). Its description in RNAcentral is "tRNA-Ser (GCT) (tRNA-Ser-GCT-44-1)". It matches the Rfam family "tRNA". From Rfam's summary of the family: Transfer RNA (tRNA) molecules are approximately 80 nucleotides in length. Their secondary structure includes four short double-helical elements and three loops (D, anti-codon, and T loops). Further hydrogen bonds mediate the characteristic L-shaped molecular structure. tRNAs have two regions of fundamental functional importance: the anti-codon, which is responsible for specific mRNA codon recognition, and the 3' end, to which the tRNAs corresponding amino acid is attached (by aminoacyl-tRNA synthetases). tRNAs cope with the degeneracy of the genetic code in two manners: having more than one tRNA (with a specific anti-codon) for a particular amino acid; and 'wobble' base-pairing, i.e. permitting non-standard base-pairing at the 3rd anti-codon position. Lineage: Eukaryota; Metazoa; Chordata; Actinopteri; Cypriniformes; Danionidae. The record is from Rfam by way of RNAcentral.
GACGAGGUGGCCGAGUGGUUAAGGCGAUGGACUGCUAAUCCAUUGUGUUUUGCAUGCGUGGGUUCGAAUCCCAUCCUCGUCG